Erythranthe guttata (spotted monkey flower) is the source of this 1926-nucleotide non-coding RNA. Lineage: Eukaryota; Viridiplantae; Streptophyta; Magnoliopsida; Lamiales; Phrymaceae. The record is from RefSeq and is a predicted model, not a curated record.
GCACCUCUCAGAAUUUCAAGGAAGCUCAUGGGAUUCAUCAAUGGUGGAAGCUGGAUUUGCAGUUGAGGUAUAAACUUUACCAAUACAAGUGUUUAAUCAAAUUUGUGGCAAUUAAUUCUCUGAAAAAAAAAUUGUGUGGCGUUGAAGAAAUAGUUGACUUUAUUGUUACAACUUUGACUUAUAUAGAUUCAAUACAGCAUAACUGAAAUCUAGACCAUGACAACAAGUCCUCUCUUUAUAACAGUGUGUUUAAUGUCUUGAAGAGAGUUCUGCAAAUCAUCUCAGAGUUGAUGAGAAUUAUGUUUUUUUUUUUUCCUUUUCCGAUAGGCCCGAAACAAGUUUCUGUUAUUUUAGUUCUGACCGAGUGUCAUUUUUUUUAGCUGCCCUAAAAUAUGUGGCAUAUUUCAGCAUUUUGGCCCUUUUUUAUUUUUUAUAUUUUAUUUUGAGAAAAUUUAAUAGAAGUUGUUAAUCUUCCUUCUCGAUUCGGCGAGAUUUUGUGGCUGGAAUCUGUUUUACAGUGUUUGAGGGACCAAAACAAAUGCUUCAACUCGACAUCUGACUUUUGUGCGCCAAUGUUGUUGAAUAUGCAAGGACGGUAUUUAGCUUCUGUUUUUGUAGUUCUAAUUUCACCUUCCCCAACUUAAAGUUGCACCUCCUCCACAAUUAUUACUUAAUGUUUGCCUUCUCAUAUUUAUUUAAUUUCAAUAAAAGUUUGUUCAUUUUCGUUUUUGGAAGCCUCUUCUAAGGGUGUUGUCUUCAAUUAACGACGAUAAAAUUUCCAAUAAGUUUUUUGGUAUAAUGAAUUUCAUUCGUGUUUUACUAUCCAAACACUUGCCACUCUGCAUUUACAGCCACUUCUAGCCAUUACGGAGAUUGGGCCCUGCUUGCAGAACUUGGAAGCGAACUGCACAAUAUUCUUCAUGUCGACGUGACCACAGGAUGGUUGGGUGAUGCCUUCUGUCAUAUCAAAAAGAUUCUGCAUUCGUAGAUGCAUGAGGCGAAAAUUGAUGCCCUUUAAGCAUAAUCGAGAUCUCAGGUUGCGAUAAAAGCAACCUUAUCAGGUCUAUUACACGUAAUUAAACCUUGAUAAUGACAAAUGUUAUUACCAAGUUUCAGCAUAUAUAGUAUGGCAUAAAAUAGUUGUCUCGAGGUUUUCCAAUAAUAUUGGGGGCCGGAAUUUCUACUUAUGAAAAAGUCGAUAGGAAUUUUAUGCUUUUUUUUCUCUUCCCCCCCUCCCCCCAAAAAAUAUAUUAGAAGGGCAAUGCAUGUCUUUGAGGUUGUUGAACAGAGAAGAAACCGAUUUCAAAUCCUAAGAGUACAAAACUCUUGCAUUCAAAUGGUUUUAUCUAUUUAAGCUGCUCCCCCCUUUUUUUUCUUUAAACAAGUAGUUAAUUUGUUUUUUCGAAUUUACUCAAUUCUCUCGUGAUAGAGAUUAGCUCAGUUGCUAGCUGAUAAUAGCACAAGAGACUAUGAUUUUUUUUACGAAGAGUACUUCCUCGCAUGAUGGCAAGAGUGUUGACCUGGAACAAGAACGUAAGUUCAACGAGCUUAAAGCUUCUGACACAGUGGAAGCACCUGCACGAAUCAUUGGUUCUCAGGCGACUGAAAAAAAGGGAGCUACAUGUGUACUGAACUUCUGAUUUAAGGAAUUGGAUAAGAACAGACUUGGGAGGUAAUUAGGGUGGCAGAACUUUUGGAACAGCAGGAUAUAUUAUUCAAAUGAGGAAAAUGCUGUAAUCCGUCAAAGGCUCAUGUUCUUCGAUUGAUUGAAAAAUGUAGUAAUCGUACAAGCAGAUGUAAGUUUAAUAUUCCGAUGCAUGUGAAAAAUUAGUAGACAAACAAAUACAUUGUUGAGUUACGGGCUUGAUUCUGCCAACAUACUAUGUAUGAUCUUUUUUGGUAUUAUAUAAGUGCAAUCAUAUCUGA